CCCUUAGAUGUUCUGGGCGGCCCGCGCACUACAUUGGCACUGGCAACAAGAUCCUAGAUCUGGUAUUUCGGGGUAUUCUACCAACUGGUGUCGUGACUGGGAUUAACCCCUGCAAUUAUUGGUUAUGAACGAGGAAUUCCUUGUAAUCACGGUUUAUCAACCCGUGUUGAAUGCGUCCCUGCCCUUUGUACACACCGCCCGUCGCUCCUACCGAUGAAUCGUCCGGUGAAGUUCAUGGAGUCGCGGCUGCUCCAGCUGUUUUCGAAGUGAAAUGGACCUCAUGAUUUAGCGGAAGGAGAAGUCGUAACA
Molecule: ribosomal RNA, 309 nt
Filed under: uncultured eukaryote
Lineage: Eukaryota
Description: partial 18S ribosomal RNA
Rfam family: Eukaryotic small subunit ribosomal RNA
Source: RNAcentral